AUUGAACGCUGGCGGCAGGCCUAACACAUGCAAGUCGAGCGGAUGAAGGGAGCUUGCUCCUGGAUUCAGCGGCGGACGGGUGAGUAAUGCCUAGGAAUCUGCCUGGUAGUGGGGGAUAACGUCCGGAAACGGGCGCUAAUACCGCAUACGUCCUGAGGGUGAAAGUGGGGGAUCUUCGGACCUCACGCUAUCAGAUGAGCCUAGGUCGGAUUAGCGAGUUGGUGGGGUAAAGGCCUACCAAGGCGACGAUCCGUAACUGGUCUGAGAGGAUGAUCAGUCACACUAGAACUGAGACACGGUCCAGACUCCUACGGGAGGCAGCAGUGGGGAAUAUUGGACAAUGGGCGAAAGCCUGAUCCAGCCAUGCCGCGUGUGUGAAGAAGGUCUUCGGAUUGUAAAGCACUUUAAGUUGGGAGGAAGGGCAGUAAGUUAAUACCUUGCUGUUUUGACGUUACCAACAGAAUAAGCACCGGCUAACUUCGUG
RNAcentral lists this ribosomal RNA (484 nucleotides) under uncultured bacterium. RNAcentral describes it as "partial 16S ribosomal RNA". It matches the Rfam family "Bacterial small subunit ribosomal RNA", at positions 30 to 507 of the family's 1533-position model. The record is from RNAcentral.